GAUGAACGCUGGCGGCGUGCCUAAUACAUGCAAGUCGAGCGAACAGACGAGGAGCUUGUUCCUCUGACGUUAGCGGCGGACGGGUGAGUAACACGUGGAUAACCUACCUAUAAGACUGGGAUAACUUCGGGAAACCGGAGCUAAUACCGGAUAAUAUAUUGAACCGCAUGGUUCAAUAGUGAAAGACGGUUUUGCUGUCACUUAUAGAUGUAUCCGCGCCGCAUUACCUAGUUGGUAAGGUAACGGCUUACCAAGGCAACGAUGCGUAGCCGACCUGAGAGGGUGAUCGGCCACACUGGAACUGAGACACGGUCCAGACUCCUACGGGAGGCAGCAGUAGGGAAUCUUCCGCAAUGGGCGAAAGCCUGACGGAGCAACGCCGCGUGAGUGAUGAAGGUCUUCGGAUCGUAAAACUCUGUUAUUAGGGAAGAACAAAUGUGUAAGUAACUAUGCACGUCUUGACGGUACCUAAUCAGAAAGCCACGGCUAACUACGUG
This 497-nucleotide ribosomal RNA is filed under the name uncultured bacterium. RNAcentral's name for it is "partial 16S ribosomal RNA". It matches the Rfam family "Bacterial small subunit ribosomal RNA", at positions 28 to 507 of the family's 1533-position model. The record is from RNAcentral.